CUACGGGAGGCAGCAGUGAGGAAUAUUGGACAAUGGGCGCAAGCCUGAUCCAGCCAUGCCGCGUGCAGGAUGACGGUCCUAUGGAUUGUAAACUGCUUUUGCACAGGAAGAAACAACAUUACGUGUAAUGUCUUGACGGUACUGUGAGAAUAAGGAUCGGCUAACUCCGUGCCAGCAGCCGCGGUAAUACGGAGGAUCCAAGCGUUAUCCGGAAUCAUUGGGUUUAAAGGGUCCGUAGGCGGUCUUAUAAGUCAGUGGUGAAAUCUCCCCGCUCAACGGGGAAACGGCCAUUGAUACUGUAGGACUUGAAUUAUUAGGAAGUAACUAGAAUAUGUAGUGUAGCGGUGAAAUGCUUAGAGAUUACAUGGAAUACCAAUUGCGAAGGCAGGUUACUACUAAUGGAUUGACGCUGAUGGACGAAAGCGUGGGUAGCGAACAGGAUUAGAUACCCUGGUAGC
RNAcentral lists this ribosomal RNA (458 nucleotides) under uncultured bacterium. Its description in RNAcentral is "bacterial SSU rRNA". It matches the Rfam family "Bacterial small subunit ribosomal RNA", at positions 339 to 794 of the family's 1533-position model. The record is from RNAcentral.